UACGGAGGAGGCAAGCGUUAUCCGGAAUUAUUGGGCGUAAAGCGUCCGCAGGUGGCACUUCAAGUCUGUCGUCAAAGACUGGGGCUUAACUCUGGAAAGGCGGUGGAAACUGAAGCGCUAGAGUGCGGUAGGGGUAGAGGGAAUUCCCGGUGUAGCGGUGAAAUGCGUAGAGAUCGGGAAGAACAUCGGUGGCGAAAGCGCUCUACUGGACCGCAACUGACACUCAGGGACGAAAGCUAGGGGAGCGAAUGGG
RNAcentral lists this ribosomal RNA (253 nucleotides) under uncultured bacterium. RNAcentral's name for it is "partial 16S ribosomal RNA". It matches the Rfam family "Bacterial small subunit ribosomal RNA", at positions 524 to 776 of the family's 1533-position model. The record is from RNAcentral.